Molecule: ribosomal RNA, 484 nt
Filed under: uncultured bacterium
Lineage: Bacteria
Description: partial 16S ribosomal RNA
Rfam family: Bacterial small subunit ribosomal RNA
Source: RNAcentral
AUUGAACGCUGGCGGCAGGCCUAACACAUGCAAGUCGAGCGGAUGAAGGGAGCUUGCUCCUGGAUUCAGCGGCGGACGGGUGAGUAAUGCCUAGGAAUCUGCCUGGUAGUGGGGGAUAACGUCCGGAAACGGGCGCUAAUACCGCAUACGUCCUGAGGGAGAAAGUGGGGGAUCUUCGGACCUCACGCUACCAGAUGAGCCUAGGUCGGAUUAGCUAGUUGGUUGGGUAAAGGCCUACCAAGGCGACGAUCCGUAACUGGUCUGAGAGGAUGAUCAGUCACACUGGAACUGAGACACGGUCCAGACUCCUACGGGAGGCAGCAGUGGGGAAUAUUGGACAAUGGGCGAAAGCCUGAUCCAGCCAUACCGCGUGUGUGAAGAAGGUCUUCGGAUUGUAAAGCACUUUAAGUUGGGAGGAAGGGCAGUAAGUUAAUACCUUGCUGUUUUGACGUUACCAACAGAAUAAGCACCGGCUAACUUCGUG